GGUUAUGGUGUGUGCUCGGUGGGGCUGGAGUGGCUGGCUUACCUCCUCGUGGCUUACAGCCUGGGCGCCUCAGCCGCCUCACUCCUGGUUCUGCUGGGCCUGUGGCUGCCACACCCGGUGCCCCUCGUGGCUGGAGAAGGGGUGCACCUGCUGCUCACCUUCAUCCUCUUUUUCUGGGCCCCUGUGCCUCAGGUCCUGCAACACAGCUGGAUCCUCUGUGUGGCAGCCGCCCUUUGGGGUGUGGGCAGCGCCCUGAACAAGACUGGACUCAGCAGUGGCUUGCAGCACUCCUGGGAAUCUUGUACGAAGACAAGGAGAGACAGGACUUCAUCUUCACCAUCUACCACUGGUGGCAGGCUGUGGCCAUCUUCACCGUGUACCUGGGCUCCAGCCUGCACAUGAAGGUGAGACUGGCAGGCUAAGCUGGCGGUGCUGCUGGUGACGCUGGUGGUGGCCGCGGUCUCCUACCUGCGGAUGGAGCAGAAGCUGCGGCGGGGCGUGGCCCCGCGCCAGCCCCGCAUCCCGCGGCCCCAGCACAAGGUGCGCGGUGACGGCUACUUGGAGGAGGACAACUCGGACGAGAGCGACGCGGAGGGCGAGCAUGGGGACGGCGCGGAGGAGGAGGCGCCGCCCCCGGGGCCCAGGCCUGGCCCCGAGCCCGCUGGACUCGGCCGCCGGCCCUGCCCGUACGAACAGGCGCAGGGGGGCGACGGGCCGGAGGAGCAGUGAG
This 730-nucleotide long non-coding RNA is filed under the name Homo sapiens (human). RNAcentral's name for it is "non-protein coding lnc-CCZ1B-3:1". Lineage: Eukaryota; Metazoa; Chordata; Mammalia; Primates; Hominidae. The record is from RNAcentral.